AUUUAAAUAGUUUAAUAAAAACAUUGAUUUGUGGAAUCAAAAAUAUAAAUUUUUUAUUUUAAAUA
This 65-nucleotide transfer RNA is filed under the name Trichogramma dendrolimi. Its description in RNAcentral is "tRNA-His". The record is from RNAcentral. Lineage: Eukaryota; Metazoa; Arthropoda; Insecta; Hymenoptera; Trichogrammatidae.